CCAAUAGAUAAAAAGAUCAGAACUAAAGAGAAGACUCAGAGAGAAUAGCAUCUGUUUCAAAAAAUAAAACAACAAUUGGAUCCCAUAGGAAUCACAUAUUGUCAUUUCUUUAUCCCUGUCUCCAACCAAAGAUUCAUAAAGAAGGAAGAGAGAGCCAAAGAAGUAACGUCCUGAACAACCUAAAGAAAUCUUAUCAGAAGUAGUGACCAUGGCAAU
This 216-nucleotide long non-coding RNA is filed under the name Elaeis guineensis (African oil palm). Its description in RNAcentral is "long non-coding RNA (EGUI_LNC001643)". Lineage: Eukaryota; Viridiplantae; Streptophyta; Magnoliopsida; Arecales; Arecaceae. The record is from RNAcentral.